GCCCUCGUGGUGUAACGGUAGCACACUUGGCGCAUAUUCGAGAGGUCCGGGUUCGAGUCCCGGCGACGGCA
This 71-nucleotide transfer RNA is filed under the name Stegodyphus mimosarum. It matches the Rfam family "tRNA". Rfam says of the family: Transfer RNA (tRNA) molecules are approximately 80 nucleotides in length. Their secondary structure includes four short double-helical elements and three loops (D, anti-codon, and T loops). Further hydrogen bonds mediate the characteristic L-shaped molecular structure. tRNAs have two regions of fundamental functional importance: the anti-codon, which is responsible for specific mRNA codon recognition, and the 3' end, to which the tRNAs corresponding amino acid is attached (by aminoacyl-tRNA synthetases). tRNAs cope with the degeneracy of the genetic code in two manners: having more than one tRNA (with a specific anti-codon) for a particular amino acid; and 'wobble' base-pairing, i.e. permitting non-standard base-pairing at the 3rd anti-codon position. Lineage: Eukaryota; Metazoa; Arthropoda; Arachnida; Araneae; Eresidae. The record is from Rfam by way of RNAcentral.